Molecule: transfer RNA, 75 nt
Filed under: Gemmatimonadota bacterium
Lineage: Bacteria; Pseudomonadati; Gemmatimonadota
Also listed under: 2 other names
Description: Gemmatimonadetes bacterium (marine metagenome) tRNA-Glu
Rfam family: tRNA
About the family: Transfer RNA (tRNA) molecules are approximately 80 nucleotides in length. Their secondary structure includes four short double-helical elements and three loops (D, anti-codon, and T loops).
Source: RNAcentral
GCUCCCAUCGUCUAGAGGUUAGGACCCAGGGUUUUCAACCCUGUAACCGGAGUUCAAUUCUCCGUGGGAGCGCCA